Molecule: long non-coding RNA, 76 nt
Organism: Dama dama (fallow deer)
Lineage: Eukaryota; Metazoa; Chordata; Mammalia; Artiodactyla; Cervidae
Exons: 3
Source: RefSeq, a predicted model, not a curated record
ACAUUUAGACUCUGAGCCCGAAGAGUGGAAUGUGAGUCCCAGGAAGGCAUGAAUGAAGGAAGAAGAUGGACCAUGU